AAGCCUGACGCAGGGACCCCGCGUGAGGGAUGAAGGCCUUUCGGUUUUAACUUUUUUCAGCAGGACGAAGCGAAAGUGACGGUACCUGCAGAAGAAGCACCGCCAACUACGUGCCAGCAGCCGCGGUAAUACGUAGGGUGCAAGCGUUUUCCGGAAUUAUUGGGCGUAAAGAGCUCGUAGGCGGUCUGUCGCGUCGGCUGUGAAAACUCGGGGCUCAACCCCGAGCCUGCAGUCGAUACGGGCAGACUAGAGUGCUGUAGGGGAGACUGGAAUUCCUGGUGUAGCGGUGAAAUGCGCAGAUAUCAGGAGGAACACCGGUGGCGAAGGCGGGUCUCUGGGCAGUAACUGACGCUGAGGAGCGAAAGCGUGGGGAGCGAACAGGAUUAGAUACCCUGGUAGUCCACGCCGUAAACGGUGGGUGCUAGGUGUGAGCGGUAUUCCACGCCGUUCGUGCCGCAGCUAACGCAUUAAGCACCCCGCCUGGGGAGUACGGCCGCAAGGCUAAAACUCAAAGGAAUUGACGGGGGCCCGCACAAGCAGCGGAGCAUGUGGCUUAAUUCGACGCAACGCGAAGAACCUUACCAAGGCUUGACAUACACCGAAAACUCGUAGAGAUACGGGGUCCGCAAGGGCGGUGUACAGGUGGUGCAUGGUUGUCGUCAGCUCGUGUCGUGAGAUGUUGGGUUAAGUCCCGCAACGAGCGCAACCCUCGUUCUAUGUUGCCAGCGCGUCAUGGCGGGGACUCAUAGGAGACUGCCGGGGUCAACUCGGAGGAAGGUGGGGACGACGUCAAAUCAUCAUGCCCCUUAUGUCUUGGGCUGCACACAUGCUACAAUGGCCGGUACAAAGGGCUGCUAAGCCGCGAGGUGGAGCGAAUCCCAAAAAGCCGGUCUCAGUUCGGAUUGGGGUCUGCAACUCGACCCCAUGAAGUCGGAGUUGCUAGUAAUCGCAGAUCAGCAACGCUGCGGUGAAUACGUUCCCGGGCCU
Molecule: ribosomal RNA, 987 nt
Filed under: uncultured bacterium
Lineage: Bacteria
Description: bacterial SSU rRNA
Rfam family: Bacterial small subunit ribosomal RNA
Source: RNAcentral